This 255-nucleotide unclassified non-coding RNA is filed under the name plant metagenome. RNAcentral describes it as "partial contains small subunit ribosomal RNA, internal transcribed spacer 1, and 5.8S ribosomal RNA". The stretch from base 1 to 54 matches the Rfam family "Eukaryotic small subunit ribosomal RNA", at positions 1778 to 1831 of the family's 1831-position model. The record is from RNAcentral.
GGAAGUAAAAGUCGUAACAGGGUUUCCGUAGGUGAACCUGCGGAAGGAUCAUUAUUGGAUUUUGAAACUUCAGGCUGCUGCUGGCUCUCCUCGGAGGGCAUGUGCUCGCUUGUUGUCCAUUACUUCUCCCACUGUGCACAAAUUGUAGACCUUUCAGUAGGCCUAUGUUGUUUUUCACAAUCUCUGAAUGUAAUAGAAUGGUUUUGAAUCUUGGGAAAUACAAUACAACUUUCAGCAACGGAUCUCUUGGCUCUC